UUGUGUGUUAGUGGAACGGUCUGGAAAGUCCGACGGUACAGGGUGAUAGUCCCGUACACCAAAAUGCACAGGCUGUGAACUCGAAGAGUAGGGCGGGACACGUGGUAUCCUGUCUGAAUAUGGGGGGACCAUCCUCCAAGGCUAAAUACUCCUGACUGACCGAUAGUAAACCAGUACCGUGAGGGAAAGGCGAAAAGAACCCCGGCGAGGGGAGUGAAAAAGAACCUGAAACCGUGUACGUACAAGCA
RNAcentral lists this ribosomal RNA (248 nucleotides) under Klebsiella pneumoniae. RNAcentral describes it as "partial 23S ribosomal RNA". It matches the Rfam family "Bacterial large subunit ribosomal RNA", at positions 322 to 572 of the family's 2925-position model. Lineage: Bacteria; Pseudomonadati; Pseudomonadota; Gammaproteobacteria; Enterobacterales; Enterobacteriaceae. The record is from RNAcentral.